AUAGCGUAUAUUAAAGUUGUUGCGGUUAAAAAGCUCGUAGUUGAAUCUGUGUCCCACGCUGCCGGUUCGCCGCUCGCGGUGUUUAACUGGCAUGAUUGUGGGACGUCCUACCGGUGGGCUUAGCCUCUCGGGGCGGCCCAACUAAUAUCCCAUCGCGGUGCUCUUCACUGAGUGUCGAGGUGGGCCGGUACGUUUACUUUGAACAAAUUAGAGUGCUUAAAGCAGGCUAUUUUCGCUUGAAUACUGUGUGCAUGGAAUAAUGGAAUAGGACCUCGGUUCUAUUUUGUUGGUUUUCGGAACCCCGAGGUAAUGAUUAAUAGGGACAGAUGGGGGCAUUCGUAUUGCGACGUUAGAGGUGAAAUUCUUGGAUCGUCGCAAGACGGACAGAAGCGAAAGCAUUUGCCAAAAAUGUUUUCUUUAAUCAAGAACGAAAGUUAGAGGUUCGAAGGCGAUCAGAUACCGCCCUAGUUCUAACCAUAAACGAUGCCAGCUAGCGAUCCGCCGAAGUUCCUCCGAUGACUCGGCGGGCAGCUUCCGGGAAACCAAAGCUUUUGGGUUCCGGGGGAAGUAUGGUUGCAAAGCUGAAACUUAAAGGAAUUGACGGAAGGGCACCACCAGGAGUGGAGCCUGCGGCUUAAUUUGACUCAACACGGGAAACCUCACCAGGCCCGGACACCGGAAGGAUUGACAGAUUGAGAGCUCUUUCUUGAUUCGGUGGGUGGUGGUGCAUGGCCGUUCUUAGUUGGUGGAGCGAUUUGUCUGGUUAAUUCCGUUAACGAACGAGACUCUAGCCUGCUAAAUAGGCGUACUUUCCGGUAUCUCGAAGGCCCCCGGCUUCGGUCGGGCGGUUUUUACUACCGGCGUACAAAUAAAUCUUCUUAGAGGGAC
This 888-nucleotide ribosomal RNA is filed under the name Tenthredo mesomela. Its description in RNAcentral is "SSU rRNA". It matches the Rfam family "Eukaryotic small subunit ribosomal RNA", at positions 594 to 1420 of the family's 1831-position model. Lineage: Eukaryota; Metazoa; Arthropoda; Insecta; Hymenoptera; Tenthredinidae. The record is from RNAcentral.